UCCGGCUUAUCACCGGCAGUCCCACUAGAGUGCCCAACUUAAUGAUGGCAACUAAUGACAAGGGUUGCGCUCGUUGCGGGACUUAACCCAACAUCUCACGACACGAGCUGACGACAGCCAUGCACCACCUGUCACGGGCCCUUACGGACACUGUGUUUCCACAGUUUUUCCGGUAUAUGUCAAACCCAGGUAAGGUUCUUCGCGUUGCAUCGAAUUAAUCCGCAUGCUCCGCCGCUUGUGCGGGGACCCGUCAAUUCCUUUGAGUUUUAGCCUUGCGGCCGUACUCCCCAGGCGGGAUACUUAAUGCGUUAGCUUCGGCACGGCAGUCAUUGGUAUAACCGCCACACCUAGUAUCCAACGUUUACGGCGUGGACUAC
RNAcentral lists this unclassified non-coding RNA (377 nucleotides) under uncultured Acidimicrobiia bacterium. Its description in RNAcentral is "contains 16S-23S intergenic spacer region". Lineage: Bacteria; Bacillati; Actinomycetota; Acidimicrobiia. The record is from RNAcentral.